CCUACGGGAGGCAGCAGUGAGGAAUAUUGGUCAAUGGACGAGAGUCUGAACCAGCCAAGUAGCGUGAAGAAUGACUGCCCUAUGGGUUGUAAACUUCUUUUAUAAAGGAAUAAAACGAGGCACGUGUGCCUUUUUGCAUGUACUUUAUGAAUAAGGAUCGGCUAACUCCGUGCCAGCAGCCGCGGUAAUACGGAGGAUCCGAGCGUUAUCCGGAUUUAUUGGGUUUAAAGGGAGCGUAGAUGGGUUGUUAAGUCAGUUGUGAAAGUUUGCGGCUCAACCGUAAAAUUGCAAUUGAUACUGGCAGUCGUGAGUACAGUUGAGGUAGGCGGAAUUCGUGGUGUAGCGGUGAAAUGCUUAGAUAUCACGAAGAACCCCGAUUGCGAAGGCAGCUUACUAAACUGUGACUGACAUUGAUGCUCGAAAGUGUGGGUAUCAAACAGGAUUAGAUACCCGAGUAGUC
Molecule: ribosomal RNA, 460 nt
Filed under: uncultured bacterium
Lineage: Bacteria
Description: partial 16S ribosomal RNA
Rfam family: Bacterial small subunit ribosomal RNA
Source: RNAcentral